Molecule: long non-coding RNA, 1851 nt
Organism: Drosophila santomea
Lineage: Eukaryota; Metazoa; Arthropoda; Insecta; Diptera; Drosophilidae
Exons: 3
Source: RefSeq, a predicted model, not a curated record
UACACCGCAGUGUUGCACAACGCCAGUUGAUCAUCGGAUCUAGACCGCUAAGAUCAAAAAGUAAACAGAAAUAAGAUUAUACUUCCGAAUUUCCGAUUUGGGCCAAUUUCUGGGUAUUAAAUUGUUACGAUUCGCAGACAAAGGGCGCAGAGAAUCUGUGUUGUCAACAAUGGGAACACCCACACGCAUUGUGGCCAUGUGACAAGUCGCAUAUUCGGCAAGAUCAAGCAAUCACAACAAAGUGCCAACAGGGCCAAUAGGGCUAAAUUGUAUUCCCAACAAAUAAUUGCUUAUCGUUUGUUUGGCGGACGCAGGCUGCUGCGGCUGAUAAUGUCAUUAUCCUGGGCGCAGAGAAGCACAAGGAGUCCGAGUCCUGCUCGCCGCAUGACGUCACCAGGUAGGCGACUUCGACUUCAUCGCCAUUUAACGGUGCUAAAAGCAGACAGCACAGUCGCGCGCGAAAUAAUAGGUGUGACAUUAGAAAAUGCAGUUGUUAUACUACAAAUUGCAUUUUACUUAUUAAAUCGAAGAGUGAUAAGUUGAAAUUGUGUAAUUUUAAUAUUUCACUUAUCAAGCUUGCUUAAAGGACAAGCCGACAAAUUGUCGCAAAACAUUUAACGCUGGGAAUUGGUUUCAGGAUCGGGUCGGCGGACUUGGUCAAGCGGCGGACGGGAGCGAGGAGUGUGGAGUGAGGGCGAAGGACCACAGGACGACGUGGUCGGCUCUCUCUUUCACUCGCUCCGUGAGCCACAAAAAAUUCCUUUGAAUUGCGUCCGUUGCAGCAGGAACACACAAACACGGCGACAUGUAUUUUCAGCAUUUUUUGUUGCCUUUUGCCUGUGGCUAUGCGCAAAAAAGGACAUCUCCGCCGGUGGUGGCUACGGUGGUAUGAUGACGGUGGUCCACAGGAUCGGUGGCUCGCUGGUUCGGAGGCAUUGUGUGCCUGUGCCCUCUAUUAUGCAUUGCGUACGGCCUCGCCCGGCGUGUUGACAUUUUUAUUCCAAACAGUUGAGCAAUAUUUAUAAACUGGCUGGAAAAAAAAGGAGCGCAGGGUGCUGGAGGAGAGGUGGGGAAUGCGGUGGGGGUCAUGGUGCAUGAUGCAUGCCCAAUGGCUUUAUUUCCGGAUGACCGUGUAAAACGUGCUCGUGGUUUGCAGCUUAUUAAAUGAGCUAUUUGAUUAACAUUGUUCGGGGCUCGUUGUUACGCUAAUGAAAGGACAAAAGCGAAUAUUUGGACUACAAGGCUCAAAGGACACAGGCCCAAAGCCAUUUUACAGGACAAUUCAUUAGAACAUGUUUAAUUCAGUGCAUGUUUUAUGUUCCAUGCAUCUUAUUAGAUGCCACAUUUUGCAUGCCCAAGAGCGAGGACUGUGCAUUUGUUGAUGUUUGCACGGGCGAAACACCUUGGUGUCCUGGGGGAAACCGCACGAGCCCGACCAGAUGAUGAUCUAAUUGAAUGACAAUAUUAUGCCAAGGCCUAAUUCAAUUUGCAUUCUUUGGGAAGAGGUGCAGGUGGAGGAGCUCGAGCUGGAAACUGGGAGCUGGGACAUGGGCUGAAUCUUAAACAAACACGGCAAUUACUGCCGACGGAUGCACUUGUCUGGCCAAAUGACUUGGUCCUGUAAUUAGCCCGGGGAUGAAAGGAUGCGGGAUGGGUGCUCGUUUUUCGGUUGGCCCUUUGUCGGCCUCCUCGGGGGUCCGCCUAAUUAUCACAUUUUUACUCAUUAAAUACACAUUUGCCUUGUUUUUUCGUUGCUGUUCCCCCUUUUUUUUUGCAGGUCCUGCGUGGAUCCUGCUGUCUAAUUACAGGGUAAUCAGGCUUUCAGCCGCUCUGGCCACCGAAUGAUGAUUG